This 988-nucleotide long non-coding RNA is filed under the name Panax ginseng (ginseng). RNAcentral describes it as "long non-coding RNA (PGIN_LNC012696)". The record is from RNAcentral. Lineage: Eukaryota; Viridiplantae; Streptophyta; Magnoliopsida; Apiales; Araliaceae.
UUCUUUGGAGGCCUUCACAUCUUCCUUGGCUUGGGCCAACUCUUUCUGAAGUCCUUCAUUGGUAUGCCUUCACGUUGGGUCCUUUCCCGAGCCAAGACAGACUUCAGGAUGGAGUUCUCCUUCCUCAGCGCCUCCUCUUCGGAUUCAGCCUCGAGAGAUCUUGGACGUAGACGCCCGAAUACAGCAUUUGCCUGUGCAUGUUCAGUUUUAUUUAAUCAAUUUUCAGAUAUAUGAAUACGAAGAUAAGUAUGGAAAGCAGAGGGAGGGGAGAGCCAUUUACCUUCGCCAAGUAGCUCAUGCCUUCGCUAAGUAAGUCCCCAUUCGUACUGUUCCCGAAUCGGUGGUCAUCGGUCUCGCGAACGAAGGCCUCGAACAAUUGAAAAGGAAAGUUGGCGUUGAAUCGGGGCCACAUAGUUGGCGAGCCCAUGACAUCCUGCUGAAAUUCGGUAGUCGUGUGUCUUGGAGGAUAAGGCACAGGUUGACUGCGAACCGGCGAGGGAUCCGCAUGUACCGCCUUUGGGGAAGGAGAUCGAGCAGGUAUAGGCUCAGAAGUUGAAUAAGGGGCAGAGGUUGAACCUGGCUGGCUGUCCGAAGGUUGUUUUCUUUUUCGGGACAGUGAGGGAUCGGCGUCGACCAGCUCAGCAUCAGGUGUUUGGGUUUUAAUUGGGGGGUCAAUUGUUGAAGUUGGAGGGACGCGGAGUUCUUCGGUGGUGAGGAGAAUUAUUUUUUAUCUUAAUUUUUUGGCACGAAGGACUUUCGCCUGAUCGUGUAGAGGUAUGUCAAGUAGACUCCUCUUUAUUGGGGCUGGUUCAGAAGGUGUGGUAACAGGGUCAGUUGGAGGAGUUGAUUGUGGGUUUGCUUCGGGAAGAACCUCCUCGUCGCUUUCAGGAUCUAUCUUGCGAGGGAUAGUUCUGGCCUUUUUAGCAGCCUUCUUCCUUCGGCGAGGUCGGAGGACUUCUUCAGGAAUGAAAGGCUCGUCGGCUUCAGG